GUGGAUUAGAUACCCUGGUAGUCCACGCCGUAAACGAUGGGUACUAGGUGCCUGGGGGCGCGACCCCUUGGGUGCCGGCGCUAACGCAGGAAGUACCCCGCCUGGGGAGUACGGCCGCAAGGCUGAAACUCAAAGGAAUUGACGGGGGCCCGCACAAGCGGUGGAGCAUGUGGUUUAAUUCGACGCAACGCGAAGAACCUUACCUAGGCUUGACAUGCAUGGGAAACUCCUCAGAAACGAGGAGCCUCCUUCGGGAUCCAUGCACAGGUGCUGCACGGCCGUCGCCAGCU
This 290-nucleotide ribosomal RNA is filed under the name uncultured bacterium. RNAcentral describes it as "partial 16S ribosomal RNA". It matches the Rfam family "Bacterial small subunit ribosomal RNA", at positions 773 to 1060 of the family's 1533-position model. The record is from RNAcentral.